GUGAAUCAUCGAAUCUUUGAACGCACCUGGCACUGGAGGCAACUCUGGUACACCUGUUUGAGCGAGGAGAAGGAAGAGGUGGUUGGAAAGUAAAUAUUUUGCUUUCUGACUGAAAGCGAUGGUGGGCGUGGCUGCACGUGAGGACGAGAAAUCGAAAAUGCGGAGAAGCCACACAAACCCACAACACCAUAUGACAUUCUCAAAUCAGGCGAGAGGACCCGCUGGACUUAAGCAUAUCAAUAAGCGGAGGA
This 251-nucleotide unclassified non-coding RNA is filed under the name Ascomycota sp. Its description in RNAcentral is "partial internal transcribed spacer 2". Lineage: Eukaryota; Fungi; Ascomycota. The record is from RNAcentral.